RNAcentral lists this ribosomal RNA (492 nucleotides) under uncultured bacterium. RNAcentral describes it as "partial 16S ribosomal RNA". It matches the Rfam family "Bacterial small subunit ribosomal RNA", at positions 29 to 507 of the family's 1533-position model. The record is from RNAcentral.
AGUGAACGCUGGCGGUAGGCCUAACACAUGCAAGUCGAACGGCAGCACAGUAAGAGCUUGCUCUUACGGGUGGCGAGUGGCGGACGGGUGAGGAAUACAUCGGAAUCUACUUUUUCGUGGGGGAUAACGUAGGGAAACUUACGCUAAUACCGCAUACGACCUACGGGUGAAAGCAGGGGAUCUUCGGACCUUGCGCGAUUGAAUGAGCCGAUGUCGGAUUAGCUAGUUGGCGGGGUAAAGGCCCACCAAGGCGCCGAUCCGUAGCUGGUCUGAGAGGAUGAUCAGCCACACUGGAACGGGGACACGGUCCAGACGCCUAAGGGAGGCAGCAGUGGGGAAUAUUGGACAAUGGGCGGAAGCCUGAUCCAGCCAUACCGAGUGGGUGAAGGAGGCCUUCGGGGUGUAAAGACCUUUUUUUGGGAAAGAAAAGCAGCAGGUUAAUACCCCGCUGUUCUGACGGUAACCAAAGAAUAAGCACCGGCUAACUUCGUG